CAGCAGCGCGGUAAUACGGAGGGCGCGAGCGUUACCCGGAUUUACUGGGCGUAAAGGGCGUGUAGGCGGCCUGGGGCGUCCCAUGUGAAAGGCCACGGCUCAACCGUGGAGGAGCGUGGGAUACGCUCAGGCUAGAGGGUGGGAGAGGGUGGUGGAAUUCCCGGAGUAGCGGUGAAAUGCGCAGAUACCGGGAGGAACGCCGAUGGCGAAGGCAGCCACCUGGUCCACUUCUGACGCUGAGGCGCGAAAGCGUGGGGAGCAAACCGGAUUAGAUACCCCAGUAGUCCCUGUCUCUUAUACA
This 301-nucleotide ribosomal RNA is filed under the name uncultured bacterium. Its description in RNAcentral is "partial 16S ribosomal RNA". It matches the Rfam family "Bacterial small subunit ribosomal RNA", at positions 509 to 808 of the family's 1533-position model. The record is from RNAcentral.